GAUGAAGAACGUAGCAAAAUGCGAUAAGUAAUGUGAAUUGCAGAAUUCAGUGAAUCAUCGAAUCUUUGAACGCACAUUGCGCCCGCCAGUAUUCUGGCGGGCAUGCCUGUUCGAGCGUCAUUUCAACCCUCAAGCACAGCUUGGUGUUGGGACUCGCGUUAAUUCGCGUUCCCCAAAUUGAUUGGCGGUCACGUCGAGCUUCCAUAGCGUAGUAGUAAAACCCUCGUUACUGGUAAUCGUCGCGGCCACGCCGUUAAACCCCAACUUCUGAAUGUUGACCUCGGAUCAGGUAGGAAUACCCGCUGAACUUAAGCAUAUCAAUAAGCGGAGGGA
RNAcentral lists this unclassified non-coding RNA (333 nucleotides) under soil metagenome. RNAcentral describes it as "partial contains 5.8S ribosomal RNA, internal transcribed spacer 2, and large subunit ribosomal RNA". The stretch from base 1 to 120 matches the Rfam family "5.8S ribosomal RNA", at positions 35 to 154 of the family's 154-position model. The record is from RNAcentral.